GGACGAACGCUGGCGGGCGUGCCUAAUACAUGCAAGUCGAACGCUUUUUCUUUCACCGGAGCUUGCUCCACCGAAAGAAAAAGAGUGGCGAACGGGUGAGUAACACGUGGGUAACCUGCCCAUCAGAAGGGGAUAACACUUGGAAACAGGUGCUAAUACCGUAUAACACUAUUUUCCGCAUGGAAGAAAGUUGAAAGGCGCUUUUGCGUCACUGAUGGAUGGACCCGCGGUGCAUUAGCUAGUUGGUGAGGUAACGGCUCACCAAGGCAACGAUGCAUAGCCGACCUGAGAGGGUGAUCGGCCACACUGGGACUGAGACACGGCCCAGACUCCUACGGGAGGCAGCAGUAGGGAAUCUUCGGCAAUGGACGAAAGUCUGACCGAGCAACGCCGCGUGAGUGAAGAAGGUUUUCGGAUCGUAAAACUCUGUUGUUAGAGAAGAACAAGGAUGAGAGUAAAAUGUUCAUCCCUUGACGGUAUCUAACCAGAAAGCCACGGCUAACUACGUGCCAGCAGCCGCGGUAAUACGUAGGUGGCAAGCGUUGUCCGGAUUUAUUGGGCGUAAAGCGAGCGCAGGCGGUUUCUUAAGUCUGAUGUGAAAGCCCCCGGCUCAACCGGGGAGGGUCAUUGGAAACUGGGAGACUUGAGUGCAGAAGAGGAGAGUGGAAUUCCAUGUGUAGCGGUGAAAUGCGUAGAUAUAUGGAGGAACACCAGUGGCGAAGGCGGCUCUC
RNAcentral lists this ribosomal RNA (731 nucleotides) under uncultured Bacilli bacterium. RNAcentral's name for it is "bacterial SSU rRNA". It matches the Rfam family "Bacterial small subunit ribosomal RNA", at positions 27 to 729 of the family's 1533-position model. Lineage: Bacteria; Bacillati; Bacillota; Bacilli. The record is from RNAcentral.